Molecule: ribosomal RNA, 1343 nt
Filed under: uncultured bacterium
Lineage: Bacteria
Description: 16S ribosomal RNA
Rfam family: Bacterial small subunit ribosomal RNA
Source: RNAcentral
GACGAACGCUGGCGGCGUGCUUAACACAUGCAAGUCGAACGGAAAGGCCCUGCUUUUGUGGGGUGCUCGAGUGGCGAACGGGUGAGUAACACGUGAGUAACCUGCCCUUGACUUUGGGAUAACUUCAGGAAACUGGGGCUAAUACCGGAUAGGAGCUCCUGCUGCAUGGUGGGGGUUGGAAAGUUUCGGCGGUUGGGGAUGGACUCGCGGCUUAUCAGCUUGUUGGUGGGGUAGUGGCUUACCAAGGCUUUGACGGGUAGCCGGCCUGAGAGGGUGACCGGCCACAUUGGGACUGAGAUACGGCCCAGACUCCUACGGGAGGCAGCAGUGGGGAAUAUUGCACAAUGGGCGGAAGCCUGAUGCAGCAACGCCGCGUGCGGGAUGACGGCCUUCGGGUUGUAAACCGCUUUCGCCUGUGACGAAGCGUGAGUGACGGUAAUGGGUAAAGAAGCACCGGCUAACUACGUGCCAGCAGCCGCGGUGAUACGUAAGGUGCGAGCGUUGUCCGGAUUUAUUGGGCGUAAAGGGCUCGUAGGUGGUUGAUCGCGUCGGAAGUGUAAUCUUGGGGCUUAACCCUGAGCGUGCUUUCGAUACGGGUUGACUUGAGGAAGGUAGGGGAGAAUGGAAUUCCUGGUGGAGCGGUGGAAUGCGCAGAUAUCAGGAGGAACACCAGUGGCGAAGGCGGUUCUCUGAGCCUUUCCUGACGCUGAGGAGCGAAAGCGUGGGGAGCGAACAGGCUUAGAUACCCUGGUAGUCCACGCUGUAAACGGUGGGUACUAGGUGUGGGGUCCAUUCCACGGGUUCCGUGCCGUAGCUAACGCUUUAAGUACCCCGCCUGGGGAGUACGGCCGCAAGGCUAAAACUCAAAGGAAUUGACGGGGCCCCGCACAAGCGGCGGAGCAUGCGGAUUAAUUCGAUGCAACGCGUAGAACCUUACCUGGGUUUGACAUGGAUCGGGAGCGCUCAGAGAUGGGUGUGCCUCUUUUGGGGUCGGUUCACAGGUGGUGCAUGGCUGUCGUCAGCUCGUGUCGUGAGAUGUUGGGUUAAGUCCCGCAACGAGCGCAACCCUUGUUCACUGUUGCCAGCACGUUAUGGUGGGGACUCAGUGGAGACCGCCGGGGUCAACUCGGAGGAAGGUGGGGAUGACGUCAAGUCAUCAUGCCCCUUAUGUCCAGGGCUUCACGCAUGCUACAAUGGCUGGUACAGAGAGUGGCGAGCCUGUGAGGGUGAGCGAAUCUCGGAAAGCCGGUCUCAGUUCGGAUUGGGGUCUGCAACUCGACCUCAUGAAGUCGGAGUCGCUAGUAAUCGCAGAUCAGCAACGCUGCGGUGAAUACGUUCCCGGG